UUGUCCAUAAUAAAUUAAUUAUUUACAAAAAAUGUUGUUUUUGCAAUUUAGAAAUCAAAUAUAAAUUAGAUUAUCAAUGGUAUUCUCUGGUAUAUGUAUGAUGUAUAGUUUAAAGGUGUGGACUUCAUAAAUCAUUUAAGCAUUUCUCAGGUUAAAGAAAUCCCUUAUCAACGUGUAAACUCAUGUUGUGGCCGACUGCACUGGCCGCCUGUCAAUGCGAGAAGUCUUCACUUGACUCCACUGCUCUUCUUGCGGUUGACAUUCGCGACUGGCGGUCGUGCCCGUGGCCUCCGCUCCAGUUGGCCCCCAUCCCAAGUUUUUGCCAUCCUCGUGGCCCCCGUGACAAGUGGGGCUUUGAUGGGACACCAAAUCGGACUGUCGGUUUGCUAAGCUGUCAGCGACCCAGAGCAGAAGUCGCCCGCCUAUGAUGGGGCUUGAACUUGCGUUGCAAAGAGCGAGUUAAAAUUAGAGGUUUUAUGGCCUUUAUAGUUAUAAAGUCUACGCUUAUGUAAAAAAAGCUGACAAAUAAUUUUUUAAACCGAAAAAAUCGUGAUUAAAAGGACAAAUGUGAGAGUGUUUUCAAUA
Molecule: long non-coding RNA, 585 nt
Organism: Drosophila gunungcola (fruit fly)
Lineage: Eukaryota; Metazoa; Arthropoda; Insecta; Diptera; Drosophilidae
Exons: 2
Source: RefSeq, a predicted model, not a curated record